RNAcentral lists this transfer RNA (75 nucleotides) under Parasutterella secunda. RNAcentral's name for it is "tRNA-Arg". It matches the Rfam family "tRNA". Rfam says of the family: Transfer RNA (tRNA) molecules are approximately 80 nucleotides in length. Their secondary structure includes four short double-helical elements and three loops (D, anti-codon, and T loops). Further hydrogen bonds mediate the characteristic L-shaped molecular structure. tRNAs have two regions of fundamental functional importance: the anti-codon, which is responsible for specific mRNA codon recognition, and the 3' end, to which the tRNAs corresponding amino acid is attached (by aminoacyl-tRNA synthetases). tRNAs cope with the degeneracy of the genetic code in two manners: having more than one tRNA (with a specific anti-codon) for a particular amino acid; and 'wobble' base-pairing, i.e. permitting non-standard base-pairing at the 3rd anti-codon position. Lineage: Bacteria; Pseudomonadati; Pseudomonadota; Betaproteobacteria; Burkholderiales; Sutterellaceae. RNAcentral also lists the same sequence under 5 other names. The record is from RNAcentral.
GCCUCCGUGGUGAAGUGGAUAUCAUGCGACCCUCCGAAGGUCGCGUCACAGGUUCGAUUCCUGUCGGAGGUACCA